RNAcentral lists this ribosomal RNA (394 nucleotides) under uncultured bacterium. RNAcentral describes it as "bacterial SSU rRNA". It matches the Rfam family "Bacterial small subunit ribosomal RNA", at positions 29 to 420 of the family's 1533-position model. The record is from RNAcentral.
AUUAAACGCUGGCGGCAUGCCUUACACAUGCAAGUCGAACGGCAGCACGGGGUGGUAACACUCUGGUGGCGAGUGGCGGACGGGUGAGUAAAGCAUCGGAACGUGCCCUGGAAUGGGGGAUAACGUAGCGAAAGUUACGCUAAUACCGCAUAUUCUGUGAGCAGGAAAGCAGGGGAUCGCAAGACCUUGCGUUCGAGGAGCGGCCGAUGUCGGAUUAGCUAGUUGGUGGGGUAAAGGCCUACCACGGCGACGAUCCGUAGCGGGUCUGAGAGGAUGAUCCGCCACACUGGGACUGAGACACGGCCCAGACUCCUACGGGAGGCAGCAGUGGGGAAUUUUGGACAAUGGGCGCAAGCCUGAUCCAGCCAUGCCGCGUGAGUGAAGAAGGCCUCGG